UACGUAGGGUGCAAGCGUUGUCCGGAAUUAUUGGGCGUAAAGAGCUCGUAGGCGGUCUGUCGCGUCUGCUGUGAAAACUCAGGGCUUAACCCUGAGCUUGCAGUGGGUACGGGCAGACUAGAGUGCGGUAGGGGAGACUGGAAUUCCUGGUGUAGCGGUGAAAUGCGCAGAUAUCAGGAGGAACACCCGUGGCGAAGGCGGCUUCCUGGGCCGCGCCUGACGCUGAGACGCGAAAGCGUGGGGAGCGAACGGG
RNAcentral lists this ribosomal RNA (253 nucleotides) under uncultured bacterium. RNAcentral's name for it is "partial 16S ribosomal RNA". It matches the Rfam family "Bacterial small subunit ribosomal RNA", at positions 524 to 776 of the family's 1533-position model. The record is from RNAcentral.